RNAcentral lists this ribosomal RNA (1018 nucleotides) under uncultured bacterium. RNAcentral's name for it is "bacterial SSU rRNA". It matches the Rfam family "Bacterial small subunit ribosomal RNA", at positions 339 to 1378 of the family's 1533-position model. The record is from RNAcentral.
CUACGGGAGGCAGCAGUGGGGAAUAUUGCACAUGGCGCAGCUGAUGCAGCGACGCCGCGUGAGGGAUGACGCUUCGGGUUGUAACCUCUUUCAGUAGGGAGAAGCGAAAGUGACGGUACCUGCAGAAGAAGCGCCGGCUAACUACGUGCCAGCAGCCGCGGUAAUACGUAGGGCGCAAGCGUUAUCCGGAAUUAUUGGGCGUAAAGAGCUCGUAGGCGGUUUGUCGCGUCUGCCGUGAAAGUCCGGGGCUCAACUCCGGAUCUGCGGUGGGUACGGGCAGACUAGAGUGAUGUAGGGGAGACUGGAAUUCCUGGUGUAGCGGUGAAAUGCGCAGAUAUCAGGAGGAACACCGAUGGCGAAGGCAGGUCUCUGGGCAUUAACUGACGCUGAGGAGCGAAAGCAUGGGGAGCGAACAGGAUUAGAUACCCUGGUAGUCCAUGCCGUAAACGUUGGGCACUAGGUGUGGGGGACAUUCCACGUUUUCCGCGCCGUAGCUAACGCAUUAAGUGCCCCGCCUGGGGAGUACGGCCGCAAGGCUAAAACUCAAAGGAAUUGACGGGGGCCCGCACAAGCAGCGGAGCAUGUGGUUUAAUUCGACGCAACGCGAAGAACCUUACCUGGGCUUGACAUGUUCCUGACAGGUGUGGAAACACACCCUCCCUUCGGGGCAGGAUCACAGGUGGUGCAUGGCUGUCGUCAGCUCGUGUCGUGAGAUGUUGGGUUAAGCCCCGCAACGAGCGCAACCCCUGUCGCAUGUUGCCAGCUUUAGUUGGGGACUCAUGCGAGACUGCCGGUGACAAACCGGAGGAAGGUGGGGAUGACGUCAAGUCAUCAUGCCCCUUAUGUCCAGGGCUACACACGUGCUACAUUGGCCGGUACAAAGGGCUGCGAUACCGCGAGGUGGAGCGAAUCCCAUAAAGCCGGUCUCGGUUCGGAUUGGAGGCUGAAACUCGCCUCCAUGAAGGCGGAGUUGCUAGUAAUCGUGGAUCAGCAAUGCCGCGGUGAAUACGUUCCCGGG